Molecule: non-coding RNA, 1088 nt
Organism: Castor canadensis (American beaver)
Lineage: Eukaryota; Metazoa; Chordata; Mammalia; Rodentia; Castoridae
Source: RefSeq, a predicted model, not a curated record
GUCGGGACCUCGGAGCUCAGCUGUGUUGGCAGGAACAAUGGCGCUGUCUUUCUGUGAUGAAUCAGAGCAGUUACGCGAGGAUGCCACGAUGCGUGAGAAAACCUCAAAACAUCUGAGAUAUUUAAUGGGGAAUAACUUGAUUAAAACCUGACAGUCUUAACAGCUUCCUGGACGUUGAUGAGUAAUGAAGUUAUAGGUGUCACUGAGCCACUUAAUAUUGGAUGAGAAUUGUUGUCCUAAGAGGCCAGUUAGCUGUAAAAUUCCUAGGAUGGACCAACUUCUGGCCAGUUUUCUGUGGCAUGAAAAGUUGGUGAUAAGAUAAACCACCAAGACAAAGAAAACAUGAUUAAUUUUUUUUUUAAUUGAAAAGUGCAGCAUGAGAGCAUGGGAUAUUUUUAAUGAAAAGUUCAUGGACUUCAGCUUAUAAAGCCUUGUCAAAUUGUCCUGAAUAAAGGUUCAAUAUGACUUGUAAUUAAAACUGAAAGUUUAUACUGAUUGUGGAAGAGUUUUUGGUAACAUUUUUGUGGAUCCCAUGGCAUACACUGAGAAAUGGGGUACUGAAAAUGAGACAUCACAGUCAGGAAUGAGGGUGAUUAGAGAAGGUAAGUGCCUGAGGAAAUUGUGAGUUUGGAUUAGUCUUGUGAACCAGAAUAGCAUCUUAGGUAACUUAGAUGGUUGGGUCCCAUUCAUAUGUGGUCAUUUUCUAGUUGCCAGGCCCAAAGUUACCUGUCACUGUUAAAAUAGUUGACUUUUGUUUGCCAUUUUUUGUGUGCACGUUGCUCUAGAAUAUAGUUUGGUUUGGGGCCCACAGAAACUAACGCAAAUAGUUGAGAUGAUUUUGUAGAAAUCAGCUCUUCAAAGGUUUAUUGCAGCCAUGUGAAACUGGAGGGAUUUACUUUCUACCUAUUCAGUCUUCCCUCUUCCUACACUCAAUCCUACUCUACAAAACUAACAAUUCUGUAAGGAAAACUUUUGUGCCUGUCUGUACUUUGGAUAUAGUAGUGCUGCAAAAAAAAUAGGCAGGGACUGUCUGCCUUAAAUGUUUUAGCUCAUUUGGUAACAUUUAUGGUUACAUAAAUUAUUGGGUU